Molecule: long non-coding RNA, 1240 nt
Organism: Fundulus heteroclitus (mummichog)
Lineage: Eukaryota; Metazoa; Chordata; Actinopteri; Cyprinodontiformes; Fundulidae
Exons: 3
Source: RefSeq, a predicted model, not a curated record
CCCUUCACAACAGAUAGUGGCAGUAGUAACCCCCUUAAAGGGAACGUCAACCACUGACAAUUAUAAUAGAAGAAGUAGCUUUGGUUGUUGGCUGCCGUUCACAUCAUAAAAGAGUCGCCUGAAUAUAGGUCUUCACGGAGUACGGAGCAAUUUCUCUCUCAGUCUCUACUGACACAGAGGAGAUGAUCAACUUGAUAGCCACAGUGAAAAUGGAGGAGAUCCCCAAGCUUCAACUCUCCAAAGUGAAUUUUAAGACACCUCAAAAUCUGGAGAUGAAGGUCCGGUCCAGCUAACGCUUCCAGUUUUUCCAGAGACUGCCAUGGGGGACACGUGAAGAAAUUUCAGGGCCAUGUGGUGCACACAUCAUACAUGAAUGUACACCCACAAACCAAGAAUGCUGUUUACUGUAAUGCCUGCAAACAUUCAGGACUUCCAAAUGCCCAAUGAGAUUUUACUUCCAAUAGAGGCUAUAGAAAGAGCCUGUUUAAAGAUGGGGGAUUUGCGUCACAUGUGAAAUCUGACACGCAUUAGAGUUAUGUUAGCCAAUUAGAUACUUUGAUGUGAUUCUCACAGGAGUGCAAUCAAGCUUUGCUGCACUUCUUACAUUUUCCAGUAGUUUAAGUAUCUUUUUUGAUACAAAAUUAGAUUAUGAAUUCUUACGGUGCAUCACUGUGAACUUUGGUACAGAAGCCUCAAAAAGUUGUGCAUCACUCUUAAGAAGAGUAUUAAGAAUUUAAGGUUGUGAGGUUUGGAUUGCUCGAUAUUAUGUGAUAUGUACAAUAAAAUAUUUGUAAGUCUUGUGAAUUUCUUUGUUGUUGAUAUAUAUAAUUUCUCAUAUUUUUAGAUAAUUUUUUAUUUAGUUCAUGAGUAGAUUAAGAAGCUUAUUGUGCAGGUCUUCCUGAUGUAAUUGGCCAUCAUUGCCUCUAUAAAGGUUUUGUGGCUUUUGACACACAAGUUGACAAGAGACUUCCUUUCCACAAUAUGACAAAAGCAUGAUAAAGUUUGUUCUGAAGGCUGUCCUUUCAAUUUGACAUUUUAUUUGUGAUUAAAUAAUCCACAAACUGACCUGGUAUUUACAGGGAUGAAUUAUCCAAAUAACAUUAUACUAACAUAAAAGACCACAUACUUCAUGCUCUUUUCAAAAACAAGUCUUUGUGUAUUUAUCAAUUUUGCUAAGAAUCCAAAGUUAGUCAGGUGUCUAAAGUCAUCUAAAGGACUAUGUAAUGAGAGAGUGACAAAA